This 209-nucleotide small RNA is filed under the name Streptococcus ictaluri 707-05. Its description in RNAcentral is "FasX small RNA". It matches the Rfam family "FasX small RNA". The record is from Rfam by way of RNAcentral. Lineage: Bacteria; Bacillati; Bacillota; Bacilli; Lactobacillales; Streptococcaceae.
GUAAAUAAAGAUCUACGAAAUCAUCAGUUUAUUAAGUGAUCAAUCCCCAAUUCAAUCAAAAUAUUGUUUUCUCUCUCUCUCCAUAAACAAAUAGUAUUUUUGAUAUGAUUGCUUUCUAUCCCCAAUGAUAAUUUCAGUUGUCUUUGUUUGGAUAUUACUUCACUGGUUAUUCAAUCAGUAAUCAUAAAACUCAGGAAACUGAGUUUUAU